This 2010-nucleotide long non-coding RNA is filed under the name Homo sapiens (human). RNAcentral describes it as "HSALNT0196665". The record is from RNAcentral. Lineage: Eukaryota; Metazoa; Chordata; Mammalia; Primates; Hominidae.
GUGCUCAUGUGCAUGCAGAGAAGCAGAAGGAGGGGCUCACUCUACCUCCCCCUCCUCCUGCCUGCCCUCUGGUCUCCCAUCAAUGCCAGUGCACUGGCAGCGCCCAGCCAGAAGCCAGCAGCAAGAGAACCCAGGUGAAGCCAUGGAUUGGUAUGAACCACCCCCACCCCAAGCACACAGCAGGGAAGAAAAGAGAGGAAGGUUUCAAGAGGGAAAUUCACACCCAAGCUGCAGACAACAGAUGCAUGUGAUUAGCUGUGUCAUGGCAUGCAGCAGUGUUUGGAGGACACGCGAGAGCCCGCUAAGGAAUGGUGAGCAGCAGUCACUUCAAGAGACAGACGAGGAAGGCUGAGCUGCCACGGCAGGUGUAACUUGCACAGGAAACAUUUGCACAAGUGGCCAGCGAGCCCCUUAUGCGCCCCAGUACCCCAUUUCUGCAAGCAUGGAACAGCCUUUUCCAGACAAACAGAAAACUUCUUCAACCAGACCACCUUGGGAAUAUCAGGACUGGUUUACAAUGGAAGAGACAAAACCAAGACACAGGAAACAUUUAAUCAUAAUACAGGAUAUAAUAUGAUCACAUGAUAUAUAUUAAAGAUAUGAACUCAAGUCCAAUAGAAGUUCAGAGGAGAAUGUGAGACUGGCCUUGAAAAAAAUGUAGUAGGUGAAAAGCAUUUUGAUGACAGCACAGCAAGAGACAAAUAGCAGACGUGUAGAAAAUGGCAAAAACAUGUUUGACACUCCUCGAUGUUCACCUCGCCAUUUCUGCUUCCUGGGUACAUAGGAAGGAUACAUUUCCAAGCCUCUCUUAAAGCCAUGUAUCUGCAGCCUGACGGAUGAAAUGUGGGUGGAGGUGAUAUAAGCCACAUCCAGUCCUGGCCUUUGAAAACAUCUUGUGAGAUCUUCCAGGGUUUCCAUGGAAACUUCAAGGAUGGCAUAGCAACAAGCAUAGUUUCCAGAUGACAUAGACAUAGGACAGAAGUGGCUAGCAUCGCUGAUUACUACUUGGACUUGUUUGUAGCUACUUGGAUGUGGCUCAGAAACUCCAUCCAAGCCUCAUUACACUGUGUUAAACCACUGAGAUAGAGGGUUAUUUGUUACAGCAGCUAACAUUAAUUACCCUAACUAGUACAACGAGCUAUAAUAGUAGAGGUCAAAGAGUUCAAUAGUAUCCUAGUAAAUUUCUUAGUGACAAGCCACACUGUGUUAUACCCAUUGGACUGGAAUUCUGGCAUUCUGCUUCCCAUUUUCCAAGACAGCCUUCAUUUUGGGAGCUAAGGAAGAAAUAACCUUUUUGCAUUUCCUGUGAAAGGAGAUGUACCUGUUAUAAUAAACAAACAUCUAUCAAGGCUAUCGAAUAAUGGGUUCAUGAAGGAUGUGCUAAAUAGUAUUUCAAAGUAAAAAGUGCAGAACAGACUGAGACCUUCUGUUCUCAAGCAGAUGAGAGCUUCCACAGUCAAAGGUAGCAGAUUUCAGGUUCCUUAUGGUUUCGGAACAAAUUUUACAAGAACAACAAUCCAGUAAUGUGAAAGAGAACAAUGCUACUCAGGUCUGCAUACAUUCCUUGAGGUCUUCAGACUGUUCAGUUCCCACUCAAUCUCCUUAACUUCAGCUAAGAGAAUAACAUAAGCUUAACAUCUAUCAACAAUGGCUCUACCAAAAGGAAGACGGUAAUUAAAUCCAAUGAAGAUAUUAAGUCAGUCAAAAAUAAUUAGGACAGCCAGCAAUCAUACACGUUUGUCUCCUGACACUGGGAAAUAGGAUUUUACAGUGACCGAACCCUCAGAGGGUCCUAGCAGUGCCUGGAAACUUGAUAUUUAGAAGUCAAUAUCAUUCAAUGGCAAAAUAAUUUUCCGGGGGGUGGGCCAGAAGUAAUUGUCACAGCCUUGCAGGCCUUCAAUAUAAAUUCUCAAAGCUUUUAAACAUAAUACUAAAAUGCACUGAGAGCCCCUGUUCCUUAGACACAGACAACUUCCCAUCUGCAGCAGAAAUGUGUAAGACCAACCACCU